Molecule: long non-coding RNA, 785 nt
Organism: Acinonyx jubatus (cheetah)
Lineage: Eukaryota; Metazoa; Chordata; Mammalia; Carnivora; Felidae
Exons: 3
Source: RefSeq, a predicted model, not a curated record
AGGACCCACUGACCUUAGUUUUUCAAGAAAUUCCAAUGAGCCUAGUUACCUGGUUUCCUAGGCGCCGACAGAUACAAACCAGCAGGUGAGCAGACCACUCUAGCUUUUAACAAACACUGGUAGAGGUGGUAACGAGACCCAAGAAACUACAAAAAGCAAUCCAGGAUGAUUGAUCAUGGAGACAGCAGAGUCAAGAAAGGAAUUCUAGACCAGCUCUCCGGCCUGCUUGGCUUCAGAUGGCGUCUCUUCUAGAGUCUCGGUGCUUCCCAGAUUGGAGAGCUGAGUGCUUGGCUGUAACCCAGGGCUGGAGAUAUUGGAGUCGCCCAUCUGAUUCUGAAAUUAAAAGGAAAAGUAUAUCAUGUGAACAGUUUGCUGACUACUAUUUGGCUCAUAAGACAUCUGAGGUUAUCAGCAAUGCUAUUUUAAAAACAAGCAAAAAUUCCCCCAAAUGUUUUGCUUUGGACCCUCAGAAAAUGCUGAACACGAAGACUUAGCCACAGGAUAUAUUUCUGAGUUCUUAAGAGAAUCAGAAAAGAACAGCAUAUUGUUUAUGUAAAGCACGGGAGAAAAAACAUGCAGCUAUUAAUACCACUCUUCUCUUUUUCAAAAAGUUUUCAUUCUACCGAAAGAAAUCUCACAGGGACUCCCCUGUGAGAUGAAUAAAUAGCUACUGUCAUCAAGGUAUUGUUCUUUGAAAAAAAAAACUGGUUACAAAAGAGUUAAUAAAAGCGACUUUUAAAACUAGUUAAUAAUAAAACUAGUGUAGAGAAGCAUACCACACACUC